This 373-nucleotide ribosomal RNA is filed under the name uncultured eukaryote. RNAcentral describes it as "SSU rRNA". It matches the Rfam family "Eukaryotic small subunit ribosomal RNA", at positions 587 to 965 of the family's 1831-position model. The record is from RNAcentral.
AGCUCCAAUAGCGUAUAUUAAAGUUGUUGCGGUUAAAAAGCUCGUAGUUGGAUUUCUUCUCUUGUCAGCCGGUCCUCACUUCGUGAGAGUAUCUGGUCAGACUCGAGAAUCCUCUCGGGGAACGUCGUUGCGCUUGAUUGCGUGACACGGGUGCCGAGACUUUUACUUGAGGAAAUUGGAGUGUUCACGGCAGGCAAUCGCCUUGUACACAUUAGCAUGGAAUAAUAAUAUAGGAUCUCGAUUCUAUUUUGUUGGUUUCUAGAAUCAAGAUAAUGAUUAAUAGGGACAAUUGGGGGCACUCGAAUUAACGCGUCAGAGGUGGAAUUCUUGGAUUGCGUUACGUCGAACUACUGCGAAAGCAUUUGCCAAGGAU